Podarcis lilfordi (Lilford's wall lizard) is the source of this 69-nucleotide non-coding RNA. The record is from the annotation of a GenBank genome assembly. Lineage: Eukaryota; Metazoa; Chordata; Lepidosauria; Squamata; Lacertidae.
GUGGUGGCUCAGUGGUAGAGCAUCUGCUCCACAUGCACAAGGUCGCAGGUUCGAUCCCCAGCAUCUCCA